UGCUGGAUAGCUCAGGGGUAGAGCGCACGACUGAUAAUCGUGUGGUCGCGAGUUCAAAUCUCGCUCCAGCAACCA
This 75-nucleotide transfer RNA is filed under the name Syntrophomonadaceae bacterium. RNAcentral describes it as "tRNA-Ile". It matches the Rfam family "tRNA". From Rfam's summary of the family: Transfer RNA (tRNA) molecules are approximately 80 nucleotides in length. Their secondary structure includes four short double-helical elements and three loops (D, anti-codon, and T loops). Further hydrogen bonds mediate the characteristic L-shaped molecular structure. tRNAs have two regions of fundamental functional importance: the anti-codon, which is responsible for specific mRNA codon recognition, and the 3' end, to which the tRNAs corresponding amino acid is attached (by aminoacyl-tRNA synthetases). tRNAs cope with the degeneracy of the genetic code in two manners: having more than one tRNA (with a specific anti-codon) for a particular amino acid; and 'wobble' base-pairing, i.e. permitting non-standard base-pairing at the 3rd anti-codon position. The record is from RNAcentral. Lineage: Bacteria; Bacillati; Bacillota; Clostridia; Eubacteriales; Syntrophomonadaceae.